RNAcentral lists this unclassified non-coding RNA (234 nucleotides) under plant metagenome. Its description in RNAcentral is "partial contains small subunit ribosomal RNA, internal transcribed spacer 1, and 5.8S ribosomal RNA". The record is from RNAcentral.
UUUCCGUAGGUGAACCUGCGGAAGGAUCAUUACAGUAGUCGCCCGGGUUGCCGCAAGGCCUCCCGGGUAACCUACCACCCUUUGUUUAUUACACUUUGUUGCUUUGGCAGGCCUGCCCUCGGGCUGCUGGCUCCGGCCGGCGAGCGCUUGCCAGAGGACCUAAACUCUGUUUGUCUAUACUGUCUGAGUACUAUACAAUAGUUAAAACUUUCAACAACGGAUCUCUUGGUUCUG